Molecule: ribosomal RNA, 429 nt
Filed under: uncultured archaeon
Lineage: Archaea
Description: bacterial SSU rRNA
Rfam family: Archaeal small subunit ribosomal RNA
Source: RNAcentral
UACCAGCUCUCCGAGUGGUAGGGAUGAUUAUUGGGCUUAAAGCGUCCAUAGCCGGCUUAGCAAGUUUCCUGUUAAAUUCAGCGACCUAAUCGUUGAGCCGCGGGAAAUACUACUAGGCUAGGAGGCGGGAGAGGUCGACGGUACUUCUGGGGUAGGGGUGAAAUCCUAUAAUCCCGGGAGGACCACCAGUGGCGAAGGCUGUCGACUAGAACGCGCUCGACGGUGAGGUACGAAAGCUGGGGGAGCGAACCGGAUUAGAUACCCGGGUAGUCCCAGCUGUAAACGAUGCGGGCUAGGUGUUGGGGUGGCUACGUGCCACUUCAGUGCCGCAGGGAAGCCAUUAAGCCCGCCGCCUGGGGAGUACGGCCGCAAGGCUGAAACUUAAAGGAAUUGGCGGGGGAGCACCACAAGGCGUGAAGCUUGCGGUUC